UAUCAAUAAGCGGAGGAAAAGAAACUAACAAGGAUUCCCCUAGUAACUGCGAGUGAAGCGGGAAAAAGCUCAAAUUUAAAAUCUGGCGGUCUUUGGCCGUCCGAGUUGUAGUCUGGAGAAGCGUCUUCCGCGCUGGACCGUGUACAAGUCUCUUGGAACAGAGCGUCAUAGAGGGUGAGAAUCCCGUCUUUGACACGGACUACCAGUGCUUUGUGAUGCGCUCUCAAAGAGUCGCGUUGUUUGGGAAUGCAGCGCAAAAUGGGAGGUGAAUUCCUUCUAAAGCUAAAUAUUGGCGAGAGACCGAUAGCGAACAAGUACCGUGAGGGAAAGAUGAAAAGCACUUUGGAAAGAGAGUUAAACAGUACGUGAAAUUGCUGAAAGGGAAACGCUUGAAGUCAGUCGCGUCGUCCGGAACUCAGCCUUGCUUCGGCUUGGUGCACUUUCCGGUUGACGGGCCAGCAUCGAUUUUGACCGCUGGAAAAGGGCUGGAGGAAUGUGGCACCUUCGGGUGUGUUAUAGCCUUCAGUCGCAUACAGCGGUUGGGAUCGAGGAACGCAGCGCGCCUUAUGGCUGGGGUUCGCCCACAUUCGCGCUUAGGAUGCUGGCAUAAUGGCUUUAAACGACCCGUCUUGAAAC
Molecule: ribosomal RNA, 636 nt
Filed under: Trametes sp.
Lineage: Eukaryota; Fungi; Basidiomycota; Agaricomycetes; Polyporales; Polyporaceae
Description: partial large subunit ribosomal RNA
Rfam family: Eukaryotic large subunit ribosomal RNA
Source: RNAcentral